This 31-nucleotide non-coding RNA is filed under the name Mus musculus (house mouse). Lineage: Eukaryota; Metazoa; Chordata; Mammalia; Rodentia; Muridae. The record is from RNAcentral.
UAAAUUUGUUGACGGCCAAGGCUUAGGACCC